Molecule: long non-coding RNA, 1062 nt
Filed under: Ovis aries (sheep)
Lineage: Eukaryota; Metazoa; Chordata; Mammalia; Artiodactyla; Bovidae
Description: lncRNA (ENSOARG00000025370.1)
Source: RNAcentral
AUGGAGUCUGAGGCACAUGGUGGAGGAGCCACGAGGGCAGCUGAUGAAGACGCAGGUGCUGUGGCCUUCGUAGGGAGUAGAGCACAUGGCAGCCAAGGUGUGCCGGAGGGUGCUGCUGGCCAUGAUGGCCCUGGUGUCCCAGCUGGCCCUGGAGACGCCGUCAGUCAAGAAGUCCCUGCCGGUUCCGGUGACAUGGCUGAUCCAAGAGGCCCCAGCGCUUCAGGAGAGUCAGGUGGCGCAGCCGCUGCCAUUCUGCAGAUCCCGGGAGCACCCAACGCACCAGGGCCUGGUGGAGACCCUGCACGCAGAGCCGGAGUUCUGAAUAACCGAGUCUUCCAGUUCAGCUUUGGCAUGCCUUUCUCAUCACACGUGGAGGCGGACAACGUGCGCCACAUCCUGACUCGACGUACUCAACUGCGAUGGCGGGACAGAGGGAGGACAUGCUCCUCUUCCUCCUUCUCAGCGGGAACAUGACUUUCAUUUUCCCUCCCUUUUAGCCGAUUGACUGCUGAAGACCGUGCCCUGCUCCAGACGGCCGUCGACUUCUGUCUGGAGCAGAUUUCUCUGGUGAUGUGGACCUUGCAGAACUUCGUGCCCCACCUUUUUCCUCAGUCUCAGCACAGAAGAGGGCCUUAAAACUAGCCUAUGUGCCCUAGUCUCAAGUAUCAUUCCCGAGGGCAUUGCUUUCUGCAGUAGUUUGAUAGGGCUUCAUCUUGUGCUUGUGCUGCUGCUUGUGGGCUUAGGGUCCACAUAGUUUGUUUGGAGAUUGUUAAUUGCAGAAAAUAAAAGUGAGCUACUAUGCUGUCUCUGACUUUAGUUUGAGCUUGUUCACUUCCUGAUGUUGCAUUCAUCUUCCGGUUGGAGGGAAGCUUCUCAGAUCCAGAUAUCCAAGGAGUACAACAUAAGUGAAGAUGAUGUAUGUAAGAAGUGGGAGAAUAAGAAAGUUGUGUAUUGCCAUUCAGUAUUGAUUUUGAAAUAUUUUGUCAGUUUUCUAUAUUUAUAUAUAUAUUUAUAUAUAUAUUUGUCAGUUUUAUAUAUAUAAUAUAUAUAUUAUAUAUAAUA